GCAGGCCUAACACAUGCACGUCGAACGGCAGCACAAGGGAGUUUACUUCUGAGGUGGCGAGCGGCGGACGCGGUGAGUUUGCCUAGGGAUCUGCCCAGUCGAGGGGGAUAACAGUUGGAAACGACUGCUAAUACCGCAUACGCCCUACGGGGGAAAGAGGGGGACCUUCGGGCCUCUCGCGAUUGGAUGAACCUAGGUGGGAUUAGCUAGUUGGUGAGGUAAUGGCUCACCAAGGCGACGAUCCCUAGCUGUUCUGAGAGGAUGAUCAGCCACACUGGGACUGAGACACGGCCCAGACUCCUACGGGAGGCAGCAGUGGGGAAUAUUGCACAAUGGGGGAAACCCUGAUGCAGCCAUGCCGCGUGUGUGAAGAAGGCCUUCGGGUUGUAAAGCACUUUCAGUAGGGAGGAAAGGGUGAGUCUUAAUACGGCUCAUCUGUGACGUUACCUACAGAAGAAGGACCGGCUAACUCCGUGCCAGCAGCCGCGGUAAUACGGAGGGUCCGAGCGUUAAUCGGAAUUACUGGGCGUAAAGCGUGCGCAGGCGGUUUGUUAAGCGAGAUGUGAAAGCCCUGGGGCUCAACCUAGGAAUAGCAUUUCGAACUGGCGAACUANAGUCUUGUAGAGGGGGGUAGAAUUCCAGGUGUAGCGGUGAAAUGCGUANAGAUCUGGAGGAAUACCGNUGGCGAAGGCGGNCCCCUNNACAAGACUGACGCUCAUGCACGAAAGCGUGGGGAGCAACAGGAUUAAAUACCNNGNUANUCACGCCGUAAACNAUGUCUACUCNGANUUNGGUGUCUUGA
This 802-nucleotide ribosomal RNA is filed under the name bacterium Col_A CEJBAC. RNAcentral's name for it is "bacterial SSU rRNA". It matches the Rfam family "Bacterial small subunit ribosomal RNA", at positions 42 to 835 of the family's 1533-position model. The record is from RNAcentral.